This 1128-nucleotide long non-coding RNA is filed under the name Rhinopithecus bieti (black snub-nosed monkey). RNAcentral describes it as "lncRNA (ENSRBIG00000045755.1)". The record is from RNAcentral. Lineage: Eukaryota; Metazoa; Chordata; Mammalia; Primates; Cercopithecidae.
UGCUGCCUUGCUUAAAAUACUAUAAUAAUCUUUGAAGCCUACACGCAUAAACUGUUUCUGAAUCUGUUUCACUGUUUUCUAUGUACAUGAAGAUUUGUUUAAGUAGGCCUGGUUCUUGGUAAUAGAAUCCUAACCUCUGUUACUUCUGACUUAUAGGGUAUCUUUGUUACUAGGGUUCAGCCUGAUGGGCCAGCAUCAAACCUACUGCAGCCUGGUGAUAAGAUCCUUCAGGCAAAUGGACACAGUUUUGUACAUAUGGAACAUGAAAAAGCUGUAUUACUACUGAAGAGUUUCCAGAACACAGUAGACCUAGUUAUUCAACGAAAACAUUUACUGCAGCUGAAUCUUCGAGGCCUAAAGUAUAUUAUUCAUGAACUCAAAACAUUUGGAGACAUUUCAUUGAAGAAUAUAACAAAAACAUUAAAUAUUAUUAUUAUAAAUAUUAAAAUAAAUAUGUGUUGGGCAUCAGCUACAUAUCAGGUACUACAAGGGAUAUAAUGUGGUCCCCUCAGCACAGAAUCUCACAAUCAAAAGGAAAGACGAGAGAUGUUGCAGAUCAAAGGGAGUACAAGGCAAUGUGGUGAGUCCCUUUGUUCCUGCCCUCAACCAUCCUAUUGCAAAAGGAAAUAGAGUCUUUAUCUAGUCAAAUCUGUUUCAGUCUGAGCAUGGUUUGUUCCAUUUGGAGCUACAGAUAGGUCUUCUACUGGUUCCUGUGACCUUCAUACAGCUAACAUAAAGAGUGUCACGAGGCCGGGCACGGUGACUUAUGCCUGUAAUCCCAGCACUUAGGGAGGCCGAGGAAGGUGGAUCACUUGAGGUCAGGAAUUGGAGACCAUCCUGACCAACAUGGUGAAACCCUAUCUCCACUAAAAAUAUAAAAAAUUAGCCGGGCAUGGUGGCGCGCACCUGUAAUUCUAGUUACUGAGAAGGUUGAGGCAGGAGAAUUGCUUGAACUCAGGAGACGGAGGUUGCAGUGAACUGAGAUCGCAUCACAGCUCUCCAGCCUGGGUAACAGAGUGAGACUCCAUCUCAAAAAAAAAAAAAAAGUGUCACCAAAAGUGUGAGCUGGAUGAAUAUUUGCCAGGAUUUAGGGCAACAUUUGAUAGUCUAAACGUGGCAAGUGUGAAU